Molecule: ribosomal RNA, 253 nt
Filed under: uncultured bacterium
Lineage: Bacteria
Description: partial 16S ribosomal RNA
Rfam family: Bacterial small subunit ribosomal RNA
Source: RNAcentral
UACGAAGGGGGCUAGCGUUGCUCGGAAUCACUGGGCGUAAAGGGCGCGUAGGCGGUUUGGACAGUCAGAUGUGAAAUUCCUGGGCUCAACCUGGGGGCUGCAUUUGAUACGUUCGGACUAGAGUGGGGAAGAGGGUCGUGGAAUUCCCAGUGUAGAGGUGAAAUUCGUAGAUAUUGGGAAGAACACCGGUGGCGAAGGCGGCGACCUGGUCCUUGACUGACGCUGAGGCGCGAAAGCGUGGGGAGCAAACAGG